CUUCUACAGCCAUCCUUUGGGAGCGCCCCUCUCUGCCUCCUGUUUACAAACAUUCAUGCAGAGCCCAAGGCCGGCUGCCCUGAUCUGCCCACAUCCUGGGGUGCUGUCCGGCCACCAGGUGUUGGCGGGGGGGGCUUCACCCACAGGCUGCCUCUCUACGUACCAGGGUCCCAGCGGCCCUAGAGCCGUACACUUAGAAGGGCCUGGAUGAUCCCUUACUCAGCGGCCCCCUGACUUUACAGAGAGCUGCCUGGACCCAGAGAGGGGAAGUUGGCCGCCACCAUGUCACGCAGUCCCUGCCGCCCAGCGGGUCACAGACCUGACUGCAGAAGGGGCUGAGGGAGCCCGCCCUGCCCGUCCUGUUUUCCCUGCAGCCGGAGCUGGUGUUACAAAUGAGGCCCCACGACUUCAUUGCAGAGAAUGCCGUCGGGCCCCGGCUCCGGAGGAUGCAGAAGGAGGAAGGCACCAGAGUAGCCCGGCCCUGAACGCACCACCCUCACCUCCUGCAACAGGUAGCGUCUCUGGGGUUCUUGGCACCAGAACAGUGUGUGGCAAAGGGUGAGCAUCGUUUCUUUGACCCUGGGUAAAUUUUGGUAAAUGCCCAAGAAGGGAGGAGGGCUGCUCCCUGGACACCAUGGAUUUCCAGAAACCUUUCCCUGGAUUGGCACACGGGUGUUCAGUGUCAUCUAGUAUGGGGUGGGGGGC
This 705-nucleotide long non-coding RNA is filed under the name Heterocephalus glaber (naked mole-rat). Its description in RNAcentral is "lncRNA (ENSHGLG00000039708.1)". The record is from RNAcentral. Lineage: Eukaryota; Metazoa; Chordata; Mammalia; Rodentia; Bathyergidae.